Ophiophagus hannah (king cobra) is the source of this 45-nucleotide non-coding RNA. Lineage: Eukaryota; Metazoa; Chordata; Lepidosauria; Squamata; Elapidae. The record is from Rfam.
UCAAAGGCUCUUAAGAGCCACCAAUAACAUUCUUUAAAUUACUUU